This 498-nucleotide ribosomal RNA is filed under the name uncultured bacterium. RNAcentral describes it as "partial 16S ribosomal RNA". It matches the Rfam family "Bacterial small subunit ribosomal RNA", at positions 30 to 523 of the family's 1533-position model. The record is from RNAcentral.
AUUGAACGCUGGCGGCAGGCCUAACACAUGCAAGUCGAGCGGUUGAGGUAGCUUGCUACCGAUGCAGCGGCGGACGGGUGAGUAAUACAUGGGAAUCUGCCUGGUAGUGGGGGACAACGAUUCGAAAGGAACGCUAAUACCGCAAACGCCCUACGGGGGAAAGGGGGGGAUCUUCGGACCUCUCGCUAUCAGAUGAGCCCAUGUCGGAUUAGCUUGUUGGUGGGGUAAAGGCUCACCAAGGCGACGAUCCGUAACUGGUCUGAGAGGAGGAUCAGUCACACUGGAACUGAGACACGGUCCAGACUCCUACGGGAGGCAGCAGUGGGGAAUAUUGGACAAUGGGCGCAAGCCUGAUCCAGCCAUGCCGCGUGUGUGAAGAAGGCCUUAGGGUUGUAAAGCACUUUCAGUGGGGAGAAAGGUCAUUCACCUAAUACGUGAGUGAAUUGAUGUUACCCACAGAAGAAGCACCGGCUAACUCCGUGCCAGCCGCCGCCGUAA